RNAcentral lists this small nucleolar RNA (107 nucleotides) under Theobroma cacao (cacao). RNAcentral's name for it is "Plant small nucleolar RNA R71". It matches the Rfam family "Plant small nucleolar RNA R71". Rfam says of the family: R71 is a member of the C/D box family of snoRNAs containing the C (UGAUGA) and D (CUGA) box motifs. The record is from Rfam by way of RNAcentral. Lineage: Eukaryota; Viridiplantae; Streptophyta; Magnoliopsida; Malvales; Malvaceae.
AGACCAUGAUGGGGACAACACUUAAGCAAUUCUUUAUAUCUUUCCCAAGCUUCAUAAAAUGAUUCCGACUCUUGUUGCAAGAAUAAUGUGAUGUCAUUUUCCAUUUU